Molecule: ribosomal RNA, 479 nt
Filed under: Blastocystis sp.
Lineage: Eukaryota; Bigyra; Opalinata; Blastocystidae
Description: SSU rRNA
Rfam family: Eukaryotic small subunit ribosomal RNA
Source: RNAcentral
GGAGGUAGUGACAAUAAAUCACAAUGCGGGACUUUUAGUUUUGCAAUUGGAUUGAGAACAAUGUAAAAGAGUUAUCGAUAAACAAUUGGAGGGCAAGUCUGGUGCCAGCAGCCGCGGUAAUUCCAGCUCCAAUAGCGUAUAUUAACGUUGUUGCAGUUAAAAAGCUCGUAGUUGAAGUGUGGGGUGAAAAGUUGGUUGUUUCUUUGAAAUGGCUGUCUGCUCACCCCCUCUCCAAUGUGUUAUUAUGGGUAUUAAUUUACUUGUAGUAGCUAUUGGUCAUUUACUGUGAGAAAAUUAGAGUGUUCAAAGCAGGCAUUUGCUUGAAUAUAUUAGCAUGGAAUAAUAAUAAAAGGCUUUUGUGGUCGAUUUAAUUGGUUUGUUCAUAAAAGCAAGAUUAAUAGGGACAGUUGGGGGUAUUCAUAUUCAAUAGUUAGAGGUGAAAUUCUCGGAUUUAUGGAAGAUGAACAAGUGCGAAAGCA